Molecule: ribosomal RNA, 253 nt
Filed under: uncultured bacterium
Lineage: Bacteria
Description: partial 16S ribosomal RNA
Rfam family: Bacterial small subunit ribosomal RNA
Source: RNAcentral
UACGUAGGGGGCAAGCGUUGUCCGGAAUCAUUGGGCGUAAAGCGCGUGUAGGCGGCUCGAUAAGUCUGCUGUGAAAGUCCAAGGCUCAACCUUGGGAUGCCGGUGGAUACUGUCGGGCUCGAGUCCGGAAGAGGAGUGUGGAAUUCCUGGUGUAGCGGUGAAAUGCGCAGACAUCAGGAGGAACACCAAUGGCGAAGGCAGCACUCUGGGACGUGACUGACGCUGAGACGCGAAAGCGUGGGGAGCAAACAGG